AUGUGGCUGGUCAUUCAUAAGAGAUGUUUGACUGCGGAUAACCUGCAAAGAAGGGGCUGGCCCUCAAAUGAUGUAUGCCAUCUGUGUCUCUUGGUGGCCGAAAACUGUAAGCAUCUGUUCUUAUUGUGCCGAUUCACACAGCAGGUUUGGUCCAGGUUCAGAGACUGGACGCGGGCUCAAUUCUCGAUCCCUGAUGACCACUUGGACAGUUCUGAAUCUUGGUGGAUCAAUACUCGAAAGGAAAUUCCCAAGUCAGCUCGAAGAAAUUUUGACACCAUCACCAUUCUGAUUCACUGGAGAAUUUGGAAGGAAAGAAACGCGAGGAUUUUUGAGCAUGUGGCCAGCAAUGUGGACAGGGUGUUGGACCUGAUAAGAGAAGACAUUGCUGUCUGGAGAUUGGCCGGUUGUGUAGGCGAUGUGUACUGA
RNAcentral lists this ribosomal RNA (426 nucleotides) under Triticum aestivum (bread wheat). Its description in RNAcentral is "partial small subunit ribosomal RNA". Lineage: Eukaryota; Viridiplantae; Streptophyta; Magnoliopsida; Poales; Poaceae. The record is from RNAcentral.